Priapulus caudatus is the source of this 783-nucleotide long non-coding RNA. RefSeq lists it as uncharacterized. Lineage: Eukaryota; Metazoa; Priapulida; Priapulimorpha; Priapulimorphida; Priapulidae. The transcript has 3 exons. The record is from RefSeq and is a predicted model, not a curated record.
GGACAUAGUCGAGUUUUUGGACACGGAAAAUGGCGUCUCCUCAGACGGUGUUCGCAUAGGUGGCGUUGUGUUCUCGGAAAUCGCGAAGACGGUGACGAAAUUCAACUAUCUGGAACACCCCGUGCAGAGCUCACUCACCGCUGUGCAGGGGCAGAUACAGGCGAUACCAUUUGACAAUGGCGGACAUACUGCCACGAGAGUGGGUUUGCAGCGAGCCACCGACAUUCUUCGGGCAUACGGUCGGACCGAUUCCCAGAAAUCCGUGUUCGUGUUGACCGACGGGCAGUCAAACCGAGGCGGAAAUCCGUGCUCAAAAGCGGCAGAGAUGAAAAGUUAUGGCUACGAAGUGUUCGUGUGGGCGAUUGGAGCCAACACUGGAAGCAGCGCUCAGGCGGAGUUGGAAUGCAUUGCCACUGACUCCAGCCACAUAUUCAAGAUCGACAGUUUCAGCAGCGCGCGGGAUGUCACUACUCGCGUCCGUGUACUUCUUGGCUGAAUACAAAAUUUACAGUUUUGUUUUAUAUAUUUUUUAUUUUACAACGUCGACAUCUCAUCGUUAAUAAAAUAGUUUCUAUCCAAAUUUUCUAUUAAACUGGCUAAAAACUACGUUAUAAUACUCAUUCGCACUAACAAAUAUGAUUGUUAUUCCGGUUAUUCCAGUUAUUAUAAUCAUCGCAAUGUUUAUUCUUAGCAUACGUGAUAGAGUCGAGUCGGCUCAGCGUGUUUAGUGAUGUCAGACUUGUUUCAUAUAUCGCUUCAUUACGAAUAAAUCUAUUCGUCUAA